RNAcentral lists this ribosomal RNA (198 nucleotides) under Gadus morhua (Atlantic cod). RNAcentral's name for it is "partial small subunit ribosomal RNA". Lineage: Eukaryota; Metazoa; Chordata; Actinopteri; Gadiformes; Gadidae. The record is from RNAcentral.
UUGUAUGGUCGUUAACAUUGAUGGUUUUAUACCCAAACCUACCGCCUGGGAACUACGAGCAAUAGCUAUAAACCCAAAGGACUUGGCGGUGCUUUAGACCCCCCUAGAGGAGCCUGUUCUAGAACUGAUAACCGGCGUUUAACCUCACCAUCCUUUGUUUUCCCCGCCUAUAUACACCGUCGUCAGCUUACCCUGUGA